AUGAACGCUGGCGGCGUGCUUAAUACAUGCAAGUCGAACGAAGAGUGUAGCAAUAUACUCUUAGUGGCGAACGGGUGAGUAACGCGUUGGUGACCUGCCCCGAAGUGAGGGAUAACAGUUCGAAAGGACUGCUAAUACCCCAUGUGGUCUUAGGGACUAGACGCCUUUUGACUAAAGGUGCAAACCGCUUCGGGAGGGACCUGCGUCCCAUCAGCUUGUUGGUAGGGUAACGGCCUACCAAGGCGACGACGGGUAGGGGGCCUGAGAGGGUGACCCCCCACACUGGCACUGAAACACGGGCCAGACACCUACGGGUGGCAGCAGUAGGGAAUAUUGCACAAUGGGCGAAAGCCUGAUGCAGCAACGCCGCGUGCACGAUGAAGGCCUUCGGGUCGUAAAGUGCUUUUUGGGGAGAUGAGGAAGGACAGUAUCCCCAGAAUAAGUCUCGGCUAACUACGU
RNAcentral lists this ribosomal RNA (459 nucleotides) under uncultured bacterium. RNAcentral describes it as "bacterial SSU rRNA". It matches the Rfam family "Bacterial small subunit ribosomal RNA", at positions 29 to 506 of the family's 1533-position model. The record is from RNAcentral.